CAGCCGCCACGGUAAUACGAAGGGGGCUAGCGUUGUUCGGAAUUACUGGGCGUAAAGCGCACGUAGGCGGACUUUUAAGUCAGGGGUGAAAUCCCGGGGCUCAACCUCGGAACUGCCUUUGAUACUGGAAGUCUUGAGUGUGGAAGAGGUAAGUGGAAUUGCGAGUGUAGAGGUGAAAUUCGUAGAUAUUCGCAGGAACACCAGUGGCGAAGGCGGCUUACUGGUCCACAACUGACGCUGAGGUGCGAAAGCGUGGGGAGCAAACAGGAUUAGAUACCCCCGUAGUCCCUGUCUCUUAUAC
This 301-nucleotide ribosomal RNA is filed under the name uncultured bacterium. RNAcentral's name for it is "partial 16S ribosomal RNA". It matches the Rfam family "Bacterial small subunit ribosomal RNA", at positions 509 to 807 of the family's 1533-position model. The record is from RNAcentral.